Long non-coding RNA from Hibiscus syriacus, 311 nucleotides. RefSeq lists it as uncharacterized. The record is from RefSeq and is a predicted model, not a curated record. The transcript has 3 exons. Lineage: Eukaryota; Viridiplantae; Streptophyta; Magnoliopsida; Malvales; Malvaceae.
GCCUAUUGUCCUUUCGGGUGCUGGGACAGGUGAGGCUCCCAUUUCUUUGUUAUCUGAAAGUGAAGUUUGGGAAGUUCAGUAUGAUCGCUACACAAGGUCUUCCAACAUCAGCAACAUCUCUUCCGCACGGAUUCUACCUAUUAUGAUCUGCUCGGAAGAUGGGAUCCUCGCGGUUAUUGGACAAGGUGAAGAACCCUUGGAGCUGCUAGCCGAGCCCUGUGCAAUUAACAGCUUUGACAUUGAUAAGCAGAACCCCUCGGAUGUCAUAUUUAGCUUGGAAUGGGAAUCUAUGGCCAUCUUGACAAGGUCUU